RNAcentral lists this ribosomal RNA (465 nucleotides) under uncultured beta proteobacterium. Its description in RNAcentral is "bacterial SSU rRNA". It matches the Rfam family "Bacterial small subunit ribosomal RNA", at positions 37 to 493 of the family's 1533-position model. The record is from RNAcentral. Lineage: Bacteria; Pseudomonadati; Pseudomonadota; Betaproteobacteria.
CCCGUGGCGGAAUGUUUACACCAUGCAAGUCGAACGGCAGCACGGACUUCGGUCUUGGUGGCGAGUGGCGAACGGGUGAGUAUAUAUCGGAACGUGCCCAGUCGUGGGGGAUAACGUAGUGAAAAUUACGCUAAUACCGCAUACGAUCUAUGGAUGAAAGCGGGGGAUCGCAAGACCUCGCGCGAUUGGAGCGGCCGAUAUCAGAUUAGGUAGUUGGUGAGGUAAAGGCUCACCAAGCCAACGAUCUGUAGCUGGUCUGAGAGGACGACCAGCCACACUGGAACUGAGACACGGUCCAGACUCCUACGGGAGGCAGCAGUGGGGAAUUUUGGACAAUGGACGCAAGUCUGAUCCAGCCAUUCCGCGUGCAGGACGAAGGCCUUCGGGUUGUAAACUGCUUUUGUACAGAACGAAAAGGUCUCUAUUAAUACUAGGGGCUCAUGACGGUACUGUAAGAAUAAGCAC